RNAcentral lists this ribosomal RNA (402 nucleotides) under uncultured bacterium. RNAcentral's name for it is "bacterial SSU rRNA". It matches the Rfam family "Bacterial small subunit ribosomal RNA", at positions 355 to 774 of the family's 1533-position model. The record is from RNAcentral.
UUGGGAAUCUUGGACAAUGGGGGAAACCCUGAUCCAGCCAUGCCGCGUGAGUGAUGAAGGCCUUCGGGUUGUAAAACUCUUUCGGCGGGGACGGUAAUGACGGUACCCGCAGAAGAAGCUCCGGCUAACUUCGUGCCAGCAGCCGCGGUAAUACGAAGGGGGCUAGCGUUGUUCGGAAUUACUGGGCGUAAAGCGCGCGCAGGCGGCUAUCCAAGUCAGUGGUGAGAGCCCGGAGCUCAACUCCGGAACUGCCAUUGAAACUGUUUAGCUUGGGGACGAGAGAGGUGAGUGGAAUUCCCAGUGUAGAGGUGAAAUUCGUAGAUAUUGGGAAGAACACCGGUGGCGAAGGCGGCUCACUGGCUCGUUUCUGACGCUCAGGCGCGAUAGCGUGGGGAUCAAACA